GGGGGGAGGCCAGAUCCUGGGCUGUGUCCCGGCGCCCUGUGCUCCGAAGCCUGCGCUGUUGGAUUCGCGCUCCCGGGCCGCAGCCCCCU
Molecule: microRNA precursor, 89 nt
Filed under: Canis lupus familiaris (dog)
Lineage: Eukaryota; Metazoa; Chordata; Mammalia; Carnivora; Canidae
Also listed under: 1 other name
Description: mir-8799 microRNA precursor family
Rfam family: mir-8799 microRNA precursor family
Source: Rfam by way of RNAcentral